RNAcentral lists this long non-coding RNA (213 nucleotides) under Ananas comosus (pineapple). RNAcentral's name for it is "long non-coding RNA (ACOM_LNC017830)". Lineage: Eukaryota; Viridiplantae; Streptophyta; Magnoliopsida; Poales; Bromeliaceae. The record is from RNAcentral.
CCUGCAAUUGAUCUCUCAACUCCCUUAGCUCGGCCGGCGCCAUGCGAUACGGGGCCUUAGAAAUCGGUGCGGUGCCAGGAACCAAGUCAAUCAUGAACUCGAUCUCCCGGUCCGGCGGCAUACCCGGUAACUCCGCGGGAAACACAUCGGGGAACUCCCGCACAACCGCCAACUCCUCGAGGGUCGGAACUGCUCGGUCAAUCUCCACAACGG